Molecule: transfer RNA, 85 nt
Organism: Felis catus (domestic cat)
Lineage: Eukaryota; Metazoa; Chordata; Mammalia; Carnivora; Felidae
Rfam family: tRNA
About the family: Transfer RNA (tRNA) molecules are approximately 80 nucleotides in length.
Source: Rfam
GCCUGGGUGGCUCAGUCGGUAGAGCGUCCGACUUUGGCUCAGGUCAUGAUCUCGUGGUUUGUGAGUUUAAGCCCCGCAUCGGGCU